RNAcentral lists this ribosomal RNA (253 nucleotides) under uncultured bacterium. RNAcentral describes it as "partial 16S ribosomal RNA". It matches the Rfam family "Bacterial small subunit ribosomal RNA", at positions 524 to 776 of the family's 1533-position model. The record is from RNAcentral.
UACGGAGGGUGCAAGCGUUGUUCGGAUUUACUGGGCGUAAAGCGCGCGCAGGUGGAUGGACAAGUCGGAAGUGAAAUCUUGAGGCUCAACCUCGAGGCUGCUCCCGAAACUGUUCGUCUAGGGACUGGUAGAGGCUGGUAGAAUUCCCGGUGUAGCGGUGGAAUGCGCAGAUAUCAGGAGGAACACCGAUGGCGAAGGCAGGUCUCUGGGCAUUAACUGACGCUGAGGAGCGAAAGCAUGGGGAGCGAACAGG